Long non-coding RNA from Pristis pectinata (smalltooth sawfish), 150 nucleotides. RefSeq lists it as uncharacterized. Lineage: Eukaryota; Metazoa; Chordata; Chondrichthyes; Rhinopristiformes; Pristidae. The transcript is spliced from 3 exons. The record is from RefSeq and is a predicted model, not a curated record.
AGUUCGGGCGAAUUGUUCAGCAGAAUGUCCGACCUUUGACGUUGUCUCUGGAGCUGGAAGCAAACAGGACUGUGAGAUUCCCCUCUCGUUCCUCUGCCAGUUCAACCGAGAUACAUACCUGAAGCUGAAGAAGUUUGAGUCAGAUCCAAC